Molecule: long non-coding RNA, 750 nt
Organism: Haemorhous mexicanus (house finch)
Lineage: Eukaryota; Metazoa; Chordata; Aves; Passeriformes; Fringillidae
Exons: 2
Source: RefSeq, a predicted model, not a curated record
AGGGAAUCAUCGCUUGAGAAUGCAUGCCCACAUCUCUCCUAAUCCUGCUCUGACACUGGGCACGUCAGAUCAUGCAUGGAGGAGAUGCACAGGGCAUGCCACUGCUGGCAGGUGCCUGCUGCCUAACAAAGCCAAAGUUCUGAAAAGCACUUCUGUUCAAGGAUAGAAACUGCAGCUCUCUGUACUCUCAGAGGGUGUCAGCAAUUGCAGAAGUGUGGAAGAGGAGAGGAAAUCUCAUGGCGCCAGCUGAAGGAAGAAGGAGCAGUGGCAUGAAGAGUGCCCCUUCAAAUAGCAAGGAAAAGAGGAACCACCAGUUCUGUCUGUAAACCACCAGUGCUAGCAGGAUGCUCCUCCCAGCCCCUGCUUCAAUUUAAAAUUGUCUGUCAGAGAAGUAAAUGCAAAUACCCCAGAUAAGAACUAAUUUGUGUCUCAUGGAGAAAUUAAAAUGAAUGGAACCCAUGGAGUCAGAAAAAAAAAAAACCCAACAUUUUAAAAUGGGCUGAGUUUCAUUGCACUUACUUCUCUUUGAACUUGCUGAAGUUCAGACACAUUCAGAACUGGAGUUUUGGAGCAGACCCAUCUCUGUUGUCAUCUCGCUUAUCCUCUGUUGUUGUGGUUGUUUAUUACCAAAUAGUUUGUGCAAGAUAUCACUCUAGGUGAAAAUGUAGAAAAAUUAGUUCUGAGUGCAGUGGUUGUAGUAAUUUUUGUUUAAAAUGUUUUAAAUAAUGUGCUUAAGAAAGCUGAGGACAA